UGUGCAUCUCUCCCUAGCUUUGCUGGAUGGACAGGCCGGUGAACCUUCCACAGGAACGACAGAGGAAGACGCCCCAUUUUUCACCAGGGUGGUGUCCCUGCUGGAAGGGGAUGGCAAUCCCCUGGCAAGCCCGUGUGAUGGCCUUGACGUGGACAGCACAGAGGGAGAGUCCCCAUUUUUCACCAAGGUGGUGGUCCUGCUGGAAAGGGAGAAUGAUACUGUGUCUAAGAAUGCAACUGGCCUUCUCCCAGGGGAAAUUACACAUCCACCACUGGUCCUAGCUGGGGCUCUCAGAGGUGGGCCCAA
Long non-coding RNA from Lutra lutra (Eurasian river otter), 306 nucleotides. RefSeq lists it as uncharacterized. NCBI's taxonomy places the organism in Eukaryota, Metazoa, Chordata, Mammalia, Carnivora, Mustelidae. The transcript is spliced from 5 exons. The record is from RefSeq and is a predicted model, not a curated record.